This 677-nucleotide ribosomal RNA is filed under the name Salmonella enterica subsp. enterica serovar Infantis. Its description in RNAcentral is "partial 23S ribosomal RNA". It matches the Rfam family "Bacterial large subunit ribosomal RNA", at positions 582 to 1238 of the family's 2925-position model. Lineage: Bacteria; Pseudomonadati; Pseudomonadota; Gammaproteobacteria; Enterobacterales; Enterobacteriaceae. The record is from RNAcentral.
GGUUUACCUGUGUGACUGCGUACCUUUUGUAUAAUGGGUCAGCGACUUAUAUUCUGUAGCAAGGUUAACCGUAUAGGGGAGCCGGAGGGAAACCGAGUCUUAACCGGGCGUUAAGUUGCAGGGUAUAGACCCGAAACCCGGUGAUCUAGCCAUGGGCAGGUUGAAGGUUGGGUAACACUAACUGGAGGACCGAACCGACUAAUGUUGAAAAAUUAGCGGAUGACCUGUGGCUGGGGGUGAAAGGCCAAUCAAACCGGGAGAUAGCUGGUUCUCCCCGAAAGCUAUUUAGGUAGCGCCUCGUGAAUUCAUCUCCGGGGGUAGAGCACUGUUUCGGCUAGGGGGCCAUCCCGGCUUACCAACCCGAUGCAAACUGCGAAUACCGGAGAAUGUUAUCACGGGAGACACACGGCGGGUGCUAACGUCCGUCGUGAAGAGGGAAACAACCCAGACCGCCAGCUAAGGUCCCAAAGUCAUGGUUAAGUGGGAAACGAUGUGGGAAGGCCCAGACAGCCAGGAUGUUGGCUUAGAAGCAGCCAUCAUUUAAAGAAAGCGUAAUAGCUCACUGGUCGAGUCGGCCUGCGCGGAAGAUGUAACGGGGCUAAACCAUGCACCGAAGCUGCGGCAGCGAACGUAUCACUUAAAGCGAUUCAGCGGGUUACGAUUGACGGAGCGAAGCG